UACAGAGGUGUCAACCGUUGUUCGGAAUUACUGGGCGUAAAGGGCUCGUAGGCGGCCAACUAAGUCAGACGUGAAAUCCCUCGGCUUAACCGGGGAACUGCGUCUGAUACUGGAUGGCUUGAGUUUGGGAGAGGGAUGCGGAAUUCCAGGUGUAGCGGUGAAAUGCGUAGAUAUCUGGAGGAACACCGGUGGCGAAGGCGGCAUCCUGGACCAACACUGACGCUGAGUGAGCGAAAGCCAGGGGAGCAAACGGG
This 254-nucleotide ribosomal RNA is filed under the name uncultured bacterium. Its description in RNAcentral is "partial 16S ribosomal RNA". It matches the Rfam family "Bacterial small subunit ribosomal RNA", at positions 524 to 776 of the family's 1533-position model. The record is from RNAcentral.